This 328-nucleotide ribosomal RNA is filed under the name uncultured eukaryote. RNAcentral's name for it is "partial 18S ribosomal RNA". It matches the Rfam family "Eukaryotic small subunit ribosomal RNA", at positions 1470 to 1796 of the family's 1831-position model. The record is from RNAcentral.
CCCUUAGAUGUCCUGGGCCGCACGCGCGCUACACUGAGUGUCUGAGAUACGAGUCUGCCUAGCCGGCGAGGUCUAGGUAAUCGCUGAAAGACACAUCAUGCUUGGGAUAGAUUAUUGCAGAUAUUAAUCUUGAACGAGGAAUUCCUAGUAAGCGCAAGUCAACAGCUUGCGUUGAUUACGUCCCUGCCCUUUGUACACACCGCCCGUCGCUACUACUGAUUGGAUGUUUAAGCGAGGUUCUCGAACUGCUAGCGACUUAGCUUCGGUGAGGUCGCCGUGUGGGAAGUGAACCGAGCUUUGGUGUCUAGAGGAAGUAAAAGUCGUAUCA